RNAcentral lists this ribosomal RNA (429 nucleotides) under Bacteroidota bacterium. RNAcentral's name for it is "Bacteroidetes bacterium partial 16S ribosomal RNA". It matches the Rfam family "Bacterial small subunit ribosomal RNA", at positions 355 to 776 of the family's 1533-position model. Lineage: Bacteria; Pseudomonadati; Bacteroidota. The record is from RNAcentral.
UAGGGAAUCUUCCGCAAUGGACGCAAGUCUGACGGAGCAACGCCGCGUGAGUGAAGAAGGAUUUCGGUUCGUAAAACUCUGUUGUUAGAGAAGAACAGCGCAUAGAGUAACUGUUAUGCGUGUGACGGUAUCUAACCAGAAAGCCACGGCUAACUACGUGCCAGCAGCCGCGGUAAUACGUAGGUGGCAAGCGUUGUCCGGAUUUAUUGGGCGUAAAGCGAGCGCAGGCGGUCAAUUAAGUCUGAUGGGAAAGCCCCCGGCUCAACCGGGGAGGGUCAUUGGAAACUGGUUGACUUGAGUGCAGAAGGGGAGAGUGGAAUUCCAUGUGUAGCGGUGAAAUGCGUAGAUAUAUGGAGGAACACCAGUGGCGAAGGCGACUCUCUGGUCUGUAACUGACGCUGAGGUUCGAAAGCGUGGGUAGCAAACAGG